UAGGGAAUAUUAGAAAUGGACGAAAGUCUGAUCUAGCAACACCGCGUGUGCGAUGAAGGCCUUCGGGUCGUAAAGCACUUUUUGGAAGGAAUAGGAAGGAAUGUACUUCCAGAAUAAGUCUCGGCUAACUACGUGCCAGCAGCCGCGGUAACACGUAGGAGGCAAACGUUAUCCGGAUUUACUGGGCGUAAAGCGCGUGUAGGUGGUACUGUAAGUAGGGCGUGAAAGCUCCUGGCUCAACUGGGAGAGGCCGUUCUAAACUACAG
Molecule: ribosomal RNA, 266 nt
Filed under: uncultured bacterium
Lineage: Bacteria
Description: partial 16S ribosomal RNA
Rfam family: Bacterial small subunit ribosomal RNA
Source: RNAcentral